This 494-nucleotide ribosomal RNA is filed under the name uncultured bacterium. Its description in RNAcentral is "partial 16S ribosomal RNA". It matches the Rfam family "Bacterial small subunit ribosomal RNA", at positions 28 to 507 of the family's 1533-position model. The record is from RNAcentral.
GACGAACGCUGGCGGCGUGCUUAACACAUGCAAGUCGAACGGUGAAGCGCCUUCCUUUUUGGUGGGUGUGGAUGAGUGGCGAACGGGUGAGUAACACGUGAGUAACCUGCCCCCUUCUUCUGGAUAACCGCAUGCAGUUGUGGCUACUACGGGAUAUUCUGGGUCUGUCGCUUGAUGGGUCUGGGACGGUUUUUGUUUCGGUGGUGGAUGGGCUCGCGGCUUAUCAGCUUGUUGGUGGGGUGAUGGCCUACCAAGGCGGUGACGGGUAGCCGGCCUGAGAGGGUGGACGGUCACAGAGCGACGGAAACACGGAGAAGACUACGAGGGGAGGCAGCAGGGGGGAAUAUGGAACGAUGGGCGGAAGGAUGAUGCAGCGACGCCGGGUGAGGGAUGGAGGCCGGCGGGUAGUGAACAGCUUUCGCGAGUGAAGAAGGCUGGACUCGUUUGUGGGUGGGUUGACGGUAGCUGGAUAAGAAGCGACGGCUAACUACGUG